ACCGGAAACGGAGGAGAGCGCGGGGGAUGUGUUUGGCAUGGGGACGCACUGUUACAGUUGCGCUCCUGGUUGGCUUUGUGUUUCCGCGGUGUUGGUAGAGUCUCGGUGUUUCUACCUCUUAGCACCCUUUCCUGCCACCCUUUGUCCUGUGGAAGCCCGGAGACAUCAGCGGCUGCAAUUUUGCUACUCGCUGCUCGGCAUGGAACGGUCAGGUACCGCAGUUCAGCGCUCUUGGCCCCGCAGGACAAAAAAUAAUAUCCAAAGAUAUUUUGGCACUAACAGCGCUAUCUGUAGCAAGAAAGUUGAGCAGUGUGAACUGUUGAGACUUCCAAGAAGACUUCAGAGAACCAAGACAGUGUAAAGGAAAACAGGAAAAAAGACUUGUUAGACAUUAUUAAGGGCACGAAAGUUGAAUUGAGCACAGUAAAUGUACAAACAACAAAGCCACCCAACAGAAGUCCACUUAAAAGCUACAACUGGCCCGCCUCAAAGAGCUACAGAGCAUGCUCCAAAGAAGAGAAAUGAGCCCGUGAGUCCUGAGUUGGUGGCAGCUGCAUCUGCUGCUCUGUUUUGACAAGCAAACAAGCCAGAACUGCUCAGGCAGCUCCGUAGCAUGAGGAAGAGUCAGGGGCACAGAGAGAUGGAGAGAGACCUAGUUAGUAACAAAAUAUGAGAUACGAAAAUUGCCAAAUGUGCUACAGCUAGAGUUAAUAUAAGACCAGAGCAUCAGAUUCAGUUUGACAAAGGCUAUGACAAUUAUCCUGGCUAGGAGAAGACCGCUGAUCUUAGAAACAGAGAAAAACAUAUUCAAGGGGAAGAGAUGUAAUAGUUUUGACGUGACGACAGUUACUAAAGAAGCACCUGAACAGACACAUCACCUUCACUUUGGGAUGUGGAAUUUGCUAAAUAAGCCACAGAAAAUGAACAUCCCUUCAGAAUGGGUUUGAAGAGCUGAUCCAGUGGAUUAAAGAGGGGAAACUGGGAGUUUCCAAUUAACAAUGAAGCAGGAGCUGACUAAGGCUUUGGAACAGAAACCAGAUGAUGCACAAUAUUAUUGUCAAAGAGCUUAUUGUCACAUUCUUCUUGGGAGUUACUAUGGAUCUGUAAAUAACUGACGAAAAACCCAUCUGUUUCUACGUAGUUGCUGUUGCCGACACAAAGAAGUCUUAUGAACUCAAUCCAAAUAAUUCCACUGCUAUGCUGAGAAAAGGGGGCUGGCGGCAUGGAGUCUUGCUCUGUCACCCAUCCUCGAGUGCAAUGGCACCAUCUUAGUUCACUGCAGCCUUGAAUUCCAGGGCUCGAGCCAUCCUUCUGCCUCUGCCUCCUGAGUAGGUGGGACUACAGGCAUGUGCCACCAUACUGAGCUAAUUUGUUAAACACUUUUUUUGUAGAGACGAGGUCUUGCUACGUUUCCCAGACUGGUCUCUGAACUCCCGGCCUCAAGUGAUCCUACUGCCUUGGCCUCCCAAAGUACUGGCAUAAUAGACAUGAGCCACUGCACCUGGCUCCUAAGUUCUUUUCUUGAAUAAUAUCUUUCUUUUUUUUUAUUUUUUGAGGUGGAGUCUCACCCUGUUGCCCAGGCUGGAGUGCAAUGGCGUGAUCUCGGCUCACUGCAACUUCUACCUCCCGGGUUCAAGUGAUUCUCCUGCCUCAGCCUCCUGAAUAGCUAGGAUUACAGGCGUGCGCUACCACGCCUGGCUAAUUUUUUGUGUCUUUAGUAGAGAUGCGGUUUCACCAUGUUGGCCAGGCUUGUCUCGAACUCUUGACCUCGUGAUCCACCCGCCUUGGCCUCCCAAAGUGUUGGGAUUACAGGCGUGAGCCACCACGCCUGGCCAAGUAAUAUCUUAAUAUCAUGCCAUUGACAUUUAUCCUCUAAUUAUUUCAGAGGUGGCCUUCAGAAGAAGGCCUCUUUGGUAAAAUUGCUAUUGAGGAUAUUUCACUGAAAAACAAAUUUAUCUUUAAAUUUAAAUCCAGGAAAAAUUUAAACUUUCAGGCUUCUAUUUUUAUCAGACAGGGUAAAAAAUUUAUAACUCAGAAUAUUACCCUUUCCCCUCUUUGUGUGAUGGAUUGCUUGGUUUUAGUUACUGAUUAUUUAAAAUAAUAAGUUAUUCAAAUCUAGGAUUUUGAUACAAUAGUUCUUCUCUAGAAUAUAGUGUGUGUGUGAGAGUAUAUUUAAAAUUUUUAUUAAGGCCCAUGGGGCAGCCUUUGAGGAAACCAGACCUUGGGGAUCGCCAGGCAGGAUUAGUGGCAGGAAUUGAGAGAACAGAGCCCCACAGAGCUCCUCGGGGACCGUCCCCCAGUCACAAGAGUAUCUCAAGGAAGUAGUCUUCUCCCACAUCCCCCAAAGAUAACUACCAGAGGGUCAGUUCUCUGAGCCCUUCUCAGUGUAGAAAAGACAAGUGUCAAAGCUUCCCCACUCACCCUGAGUUUGCCUUCUAUGACAAUACGUCGUUUGGCCUCACUGAGGCUGAGCAGAGGAUGCUGGACCUCCCAGGAUAUUUUGGGUCAAAUGAAGAGGAUGAAACCACAAGUACACUUAGCGUGGAGAAGCUGGUGAUCUAGACUGAGAAUCAGCCUGAGCUUAACACAGCUGGGGUCUGCUACUCGCGUUUUGUAGACUUUUGUGUAACUAUUUGUACCGUAGGACAGAAUGUGAGGAGGAAGUAACACACACAGAGGAGGAUGUGUGUGUGUGCAUGUGUUUGAAUUCACAAGGAAGAAAUUAUUUAUCUUGAGCUUUUUCCUUUGUUAUUCAGUUUUUAUUGGUUUAUUACUAAUAAUGAUAAUAAAAUGUAAACAAGAGCAAA
RNAcentral lists this long non-coding RNA (2807 nucleotides) under Homo sapiens (human). Its description in RNAcentral is "PREDICTED lncRNA (TCONS_00070798)". The record is from RNAcentral. Lineage: Eukaryota; Metazoa; Chordata; Mammalia; Primates; Hominidae.